RNAcentral lists this ribosomal RNA (71 nucleotides) under Vibrio vulnificus. RNAcentral describes it as "partial 23S ribosomal RNA". RNAcentral also lists the same sequence under 1 other name. Lineage: Bacteria; Pseudomonadati; Pseudomonadota; Gammaproteobacteria; Vibrionales; Vibrionaceae. The record is from RNAcentral.
GCUGUGAGGCGUUGAGCUAACCUGUACUAAUUGCCCGUGAGGCUUAACCAUACAACACCCAAAGGGUUUUG